CUUUACUCUAACUUGGCACUGAUGUAUUCAGUUUGAUGCGCAGGAUAGGUGGGAGACUAUGAAAGAGACCCUCUGGGGUUUCCCGAGUCAUCCUUGAGAUACUACCCUUCACUCUGUGUACAUCUAACCCCAUAUUGGGGACAGUGCUUGGCGGGGAGUUUAACUGGGGCGGUUGCCUCCUAAAAAAUAACGGAGGCGCACAAAGGUAUGCUAGUCCCGGAUGGAAAUCGGGAUGGUCGUGUAUUCGCAUAAGCAUGCUUAACUGAGAGACCAACAAGUCGAUCAGAUACGAAAGUAGGUGAAAGUGAUCCGGCACCAACAUGUGGGAGUGGUGUCGCUCAACGGAUAAAAGUUA
Molecule: ribosomal RNA, 355 nt
Filed under: uncultured organism
Description: bacterial LSU rRNA
Rfam family: Bacterial large subunit ribosomal RNA
Source: RNAcentral